RNAcentral lists this ribosomal RNA (526 nucleotides) under uncultured bacterium. RNAcentral's name for it is "bacterial SSU rRNA". It matches the Rfam family "Bacterial small subunit ribosomal RNA", at positions 777 to 1301 of the family's 1533-position model. The record is from RNAcentral.
AAUAGAUACCCGGGUAGUCCACGCCGUAAACGAUGAGUGCUAAGUGUUAGAGGGUUUCCGCCCUUUAGUGCUGCAGCUAACGCAUUAAGCACUCCGCCUGGGGAGUACGGCCGCAAGGCUGAAACUCAAAGGAAUUGACGGGGGCCCGCACAAGCGGUGGAGCAUGUGGUUUAAUUCGAAGCAACGCGAAGAACCUUACCAGGUCUUGACAUCCUCUGCCAACCCUAGAGAUAGGGCUUUCCCCUUCGGGGGACAGAGUGACAGGUGGUGCAUGGUUGUCGUCAGCUCGUGUCGUGAGAUGUUGGGUUAAGUCCCGCAACGAGCGCAACCCUUGAUCUUAGUUGCCAGCAUUCAGUUGGGCACUCUAAGGUGACUGCCGGUGACAAACCGGAGGAAGGUGGGGAUGACGUCAAAUCAUCAUGCCCCUUAUGACCUGGGCUACACACGUGCUACAAUGGAUGGUACAAAGAGCUGCGAACCCGCGAGGGUAAGCCAAUCUCAUAAAGCCAUUCUCAGUUCGGAUUGU